AAGUUAUUUUUAUUUUAUUUUUAGCCACUUAGCUAAAAAGAAAACCUUAAAAAUAUUAUUAUUCUUUGUUUGAAACCCCUUUGAACAUAUUUAUCCCAUUCUUUGAUUGAAACUCAUUACAAGUCUAAAAGUGAAAAACAACGAUAUCACCCUAUUUAAGGGAAUGAAGUAGUCUUUUUUGGAGUUGUGUGGGGUUCAAUUACACAUGUUUGAUGUUUCAAAGUUGGCAGAAAAAAAAAAGAAAAAAAAAGAAAUAGAAAAAACCAAUAAGGAAGAAUAUUCAUGUUCUUAUCAUAUUCUUUAUGGGAAAAAGAAGAAGAAAAAAAGAGAAAAAGAAAAUGCAAAGGAAAGAGAAAAUAGUUGCUGCAAAGUUGUUGUUUGAAAGUGAAUGGAAUUUUAUUUAGUUCAACUCCCA
RNAcentral lists this long non-coding RNA (415 nucleotides) under Lathyrus oleraceus (garden pea). RNAcentral describes it as "Pisum sativum (pea) long non-coding RNA (PSAT_LNC041823)". The record is from RNAcentral. Lineage: Eukaryota; Viridiplantae; Streptophyta; Magnoliopsida; Fabales; Fabaceae.